UACGUAGGGGGCAAGCGUUAUCCGGAUUUAUUGGGUUUAAAGGGUGCGUAGGCGGGCUUUUAAGUCAGCGGUAAAAAUUCGGGGCUCAACCCCGUCCGGCCGUUGAAACUGGGGGUCUUGAGUGGGCGAGAAGAGGGCGGAAUGCGUGGUGUAGCGGUGAAAUGCAUAGAUAUCACGCAGAACCCCGAUUGCGAAGGCAGCCUUCCGGCGCCCUACUGACGCUGAGGCACGAAAGUGCGGGGAUCGAACAGG
RNAcentral lists this ribosomal RNA (252 nucleotides) under uncultured bacterium. RNAcentral describes it as "partial 16S ribosomal RNA". It matches the Rfam family "Bacterial small subunit ribosomal RNA", at positions 524 to 776 of the family's 1533-position model. The record is from RNAcentral.